RNAcentral lists this ribosomal RNA (415 nucleotides) under uncultured crenarchaeote. RNAcentral's name for it is "partial 16S ribosomal RNA". It matches the Rfam family "Archaeal small subunit ribosomal RNA", at positions 330 to 747 of the family's 1478-position model. The record is from RNAcentral. Lineage: Archaea; Thermoproteati; Thermoproteota.
GUGCAGCAGUCGCGAAAACUCUGCAAUACGCGAAAGCGUGACAGGGCUACCCCGAGUGUCGUCCGCUGAGGACGACUUUUCCACGCUGUAAGGAGGCGUGGGAAUAAGGAGAGGGCAAGUCUGGUGUCAGCCGCCGCGGUAAUACCAGCUCUCCGAGUGGUAGGGACGUUUAUUGGGCUUAAAGCGUCCGUAGCCGGCUCAACAAGUCUCCCGUUAAAUCCAACGAUUCAAUCGUUGGGCUGCGGGGAAUACUCGUCGGCUUGGGGGCGAGGGAGGUCGGCGGUAGUCCCGGGGUAGGGGCGAAAUCCUAUAAUCCCGGGAAGACCACCAGUGGCGUAGGCGGUCGGCUAGCACGCGCUCGACAGUGAGGGACGAAAGCUGGGGUAGCGAACCGGAUUAGAUACCCGCGUAGUCC